Molecule: long non-coding RNA, 361 nt
Filed under: Nicotiana benthamiana
Lineage: Eukaryota; Viridiplantae; Streptophyta; Magnoliopsida; Solanales; Solanaceae
Description: long non-coding RNA (NBEN_LNC035614)
Source: RNAcentral
UAAACUCUACUUUGGGAGACUCACUUGUUCAUACAGAGAACGACUAGGGUUGGUUCUCUAUAUUAUUAACUAGGGAUAAUUAGGUUGUGGGUCAUUCGUUAAGUGAGGAUUUCAACGACCAGUAAUUCGAUUCGAAUUGCUACAGAUCAUCCGCUUUUGCAAAGGAGAAACCCGUAAAUCUCCUUUGCUUAGCAUUAUUACAUAUCCAAACACAUACUAAAAAGCAAAUGUGGAAGUCGAAUUUAAAAAAGAAAUUUAAGGUGAGACAAGAGUUAGAUUCAUUAUUAACUUGUACUAUAUUAUAGCUAAAGACAUAUGGGUUGCUCUGAUGGUAAGCACCCCCACUUCCAACCGAGAGGUU